This 507-nucleotide ribosomal RNA is filed under the name uncultured bacterium. RNAcentral's name for it is "bacterial SSU rRNA". It matches the Rfam family "Bacterial small subunit ribosomal RNA", at positions 20 to 518 of the family's 1533-position model. The record is from RNAcentral.
UGGCUCAGGAUGAACGCUGGCGGCGUGCCUAACACAUGCAAGUCGAACGGGGUUAAGUGAAAUUUUCGGAUGGAGCUUAACUUAGUGGCGGACGGGUGAGUAACGCGUGGAUAACCUGCCUCACACUGGGGGGAUAGCAGCUGGAAACGGCUGGUAAUACCGCAUAAGACCACAGCACCGCAUGGUGCAGGGGUAAAAGAUUUAUCGGUGUGAGAUGGAUCCGCGUCUGAUUAGCCAGUUGGCGGGGUAACGGCCCACCAAAGCGACGAUCAGUAGCCGGCCUGAGAGGGUGAACGGCCACAUUGGGACUGAGACACGGCCCAAACUCCUACGGGAGGCAGCAGUGGGGAAUAUUGCACAAUGGGCGCAAGCCUGAUGCAGCAACGCCCGCGUGAGUGAAGAAGUAUUUCGGUAUGUAAAGCUCUAUCGGCAGGGAAGAAAGGCCCUUAACAGGGAGAUGACGGUACCUGACUAAGAAGCCCCGGCUAACUACGUGCCAGCCGCAGC